GUUCCCCAGUCCAAGGCCAAGGUCUGGAUGCCUUGUCCCAGCACUGCAGGCUCCACUCCUGCUUGCUUAAGAUCCAGCAUGAGGAAGGAGCAGACACCUCACACCUCCUUCCAGAUCAGAUGAUUCCCUGCUGACCCCCGAAUUUGCUGAAUGUGGUUUGGAAAGAAGGGAAGUUAACCCUUCUGGAAUGUUCCUUCAGAGCCCAUGGCAUCUUAUGAAGUAGGAUGCUCACAAAACUUUGGAGCACUACACCAGGGAGGAGAGGCCUGGAUUGGUCCUUUGUCUGCAGGGGCUGUGUCCUUGAGCCCGGACCGGGUCCUUGAGCAUGGACAAAUCUUGCUUCACUUCUUUGGAUAUCAUUUGUAAGACAACAAGGUGAGCUCUCAUUAUCUUCUCAUAUGAGAUGGGAACAGCAUCAGGUUGUGGGCUUGCUGUAGAGUGAAAUCAGCUCAUCUGGAUGUGGUGCUCAGAGCAAAGUCAAGCACACAGUGAUCACUCACUGUUGUUUAUCUGCUCUCAGUUUCUGUGACUCUUCUCACAGAACACCCUCUCUGACAGCAGACACGGACUCCUGGAGACUUCUGAGCUGGCUAGCUACAUGAGCUUCUCUUUCCUUCCAUCCACAGUUUGUGAAAUUUGGCCAUCAUGGAACUUUUAAUUGGAAGAGCAAGGAGUCAGUCACUAAAUGGGUGUCCCCUGGAUUUGUACUGUCCAGACCCCAGAGGUUUGACAAUCUGUGGCAAAUUGAUUUGACAGAUGUGUAUUGAUGGCAAUUUCUCAGUGAGCACUGUGAUAAAUUAAUUAAUCACUGGGCAAUUUAAUCUAAUUGAAUGCUCCUGCUGCACACAGAAAAGUUCUCUUUAUAAUCCUUGAAUCUGCCCAGUUUAAAUUAAGUCAAUUAAAAUGCUCUGUUCCUAACCACUUUUUCCAAUUGAACAUACCUAAAUGAACACAAUACCCUGCAGGGCAGCUUUCUGUUAUGAGUUUGUGUCUCUUUAAUGUCCUUAGGUUAAUCAUUUUCAGUCACUGUUUGAGCUACUUUCUGCCAUUGCCUUGAAAAGCAUUUGCAGUUCAUUUGCAGGUUGCUGAGGGAAGCUGAUGAGGUGGACAUAAAAAAUGGGAGCGAAGAUCAUGAGGUCCUUGUUGAGGACUAGCAAACAAUGUUGCUCAGUGUUGUUGACCAACAGGUCACCAGUGAAAGGAGCAGUGUCAGGGCCAGUGGAGUCUCCUGUCAGCUGUUUAUGAAACAGGAGUUCCAGGAAUGUACGGAAACAAGCAGAUGGUGCAAUCCUGGGUGGACAAGUUGUUGACCCAAGGGCUCCUUUGUCUCCUGGAUCUCUGAGAAAUGACCAACUUCAUUAGCUCUGUCCUCCCCCAGAAAGCCCUAAAUGCAUGUGCAAACAGAGUGCCGCUCUUCAGAUAGCCUGAGAGUCAGGGCCAUGGUUAGCACAAUAAGCCCAAAUAGCUUGUCCCCUUCCUUCACAAUUUGGAGUCACCUCUUGCCUGAGCAGGGCAAGUGGGUUUUGGUCAAACACUAUGAGGGACUUGGGGUAGGGAGGCAGCCUUUUGAGGAGGGGGGUGGGGCUCAUCAGAGAUCCAAGCAAGGCUUGAAUCAGAAGCCAAGGUCACUGCAGCUGAUAGAUAAUGUAGUCAGUAGUCCUUGGAGCAGAAUAUGAGCUCCAAGUAGCUGGAAGUUCAGGGGUGCAGCAGAGUGCAGGUAUUAGCCAUUCUCUCUUCAACAAGCGUGCAGUCUAGCCUGAAAUGGCACUCCGGCUUUCCCCUCACUCUUUUGUCUUUUAAAAACUCUCCUUAGGAAGCUCUUUCUAUGGUGAAAACACAAGUACAUGCUUCUUUCUCUGAGCCAUCUGCAAGGACCCAUCCAGUACAACAAGGCCAUUGCCUCUGUGUUGCCACUGAUGGGAACAAAUGGCUUCAUGUUUUGCCAAGUAGAGAGCUGGAUAAGUAAGAGUUGGGUAAGGUGAGGGAGUACAGGCCUGGGUGAUCUGGCACCAAGCCUACAUUCCUCUCCUGCUGCAGCCUCUGAGCCACUGGAGCUACUUGGUCCAUCAGGUGAUGGAAACUGGCAGGUUAGAUGCUAACUUCCCAGGAGAUCUUUCGUUUUUUUAUGCUCUGAGGAUAUGCGAAGAUAAGGGUUGGCCUCUUCCUGAUGCUUCACUUUAGAAAAAGCAAAGAGAGUUUCAAGUGUUCCACUGGGGUUGGGAACCUGAGUUAUUGAUUCAAGUGUUCCACUAGGGUUGGGAUGUGAGUAACAGAUUGUCUUGCAGCUGAUUUCUAGAGAUGAUAGCCCUGGCAAGAGGCAGCUUCUAACUCUCCUGUCCUUAUCACCGACUCACACACCAGCUUUAGGGAUUCUUGCCCAAUGAAAGCCUGCAAGCAUUUUAGUCCUUUGGCUUGCUGAGCAGCACCACCAAGAGACAACUGUUCCAGAUGCUGGGCUCCCAAAGACUGAUAGUUAAGAGAAGAAAACAGCAUCUCAGUAGCAGAUAUUCAGGACAAGUGUCUGCUGUCACUGUGAACUCUCAAAAAGAUUGCAGCUGCCAUGUCACUGGGAAUAUUGGAGGAAGAAACAGAUGGUGGAAGAAACUGUGGAUUUGCCCUGAAAGCUGCUGUGUUGGCAAGGUGAAAUUGAAUAUAAAGAUUGGGCUUUUCUCUUUCUUUCUUUCUUUCUCUUUCUUUCUUUCUUUCUUUCUUUCUUUCUUUCUUUCUUUCUUUCUUUCUCCCCCCCCCUCUCUCUUUUGUAAAGUUGAAGAGACCAGCUCCAGCUCCCCAUUUCGGCAGCCAUAACAGCCUAACACAUGCUUGCCUGACCUUGCCUUGGUCACUAGGAGGUCAGAUGCUGGCCUUGUGGCAAGGAACCAAUCAGAAGUUAGCUGGUGGUGCUAUGCUUUAUGGCUCUGGGUGUGCUUUAUGGACAAGUGCACAGAAAUGAGGUGAAGAGCAUAGCAACCCCCCUGGGAGGGUCUAUAGGCCAUAACAACCAGUUGACCAAUCAACACAGGGCAACUCCUCCAAGCCUGGAGGCACACCAAUCCUGAGCCUGUGUGUACCCCUAGACAUUCCCCUUACACUUCCCUAUAAGAUCUUUGUCCUGUGGUUUCUCCAGGCCUUUUCCCAGCCAUCUGCCAUGAUGGAUGGAUGAAAGGCCUGAGCUAAUGGGGUUAGCUCGUUAAACACUGCAAUAAAGCCUCUUGCUGUUUGCAUCAAGCUUUCGCCUCCACCUGGUGAUUGGGAUCUCUGCGGUCCUGGGUGGACAUCCUGGAGGCCUGAGCCUUUGGGGGUCUUUCAAAGUGUCUUUCAUUGGAGUAGAGUUAGGUUCAAAAAACAAACAAAUAAACUUAAAGCUUAAAAGGUGAAGUAGGCUCAUAUGCAACAGGAAUAUAAACUCAAAGGCACCCAAAGGAAUAUGCACCAAACAACAGAUAGUCAACAAAGUUAUUCAGUUUUUUAAAAUGUAUGGAGGCAGGAAAUCAUUUCAUCUUGGUUACUUAGAAGAGCAUAAAUGACAAUAUACAGGCACAUAUGUACACACUCAUAUGCCUACGCACACAUAUGUACAUCCUUGCACACAUACACAUACACUCACAUACAUACUGUUGUGUCUGUUGUGCCCAGACUCUGAAUGCCCCCGAGUUAACUGGAAUUAACUUGGAUCCUCUGUCCCUCUGACAAAACAGGUGGAACAGGGGGGACCCCGAGAAGCAGUAGGGCAGGGAAUAUAUUGAGGUAGAGCAAGGGGAGUACCUAGGGGUCCACUAGUUGCAUAGCAACAAUCUCAGUAUUGGUGCACUUUCGGGCUUGGUCAACCUGCCCUAAGUUGAUUGGUCCAUUGCAGCUGCAGAAAGGUUACUAUGCUUAGAGGCCCUCCCAGAGUGGUUGCUAUGCUCUGCAUUCCACUAUUAUCAGUAAAGCACAUCCAGAGCCCGCCAGCUAACUUCUGAUUGGUUCCUUACCACAGGGAGGGCAAGGUUGGGCAAAGUCAGACAAGGUGGGGAACUUAGCACAUGUUGCUGAGUCAGGGGCCUAUGUCUUGCUGGGUCUCUUCUGCAGCCUGUCAUGGCUGCCAAAGCAGGGGGCUGGGAGAGGGUCUCGGCCCUUCAGUACACACAUAGAUGUGUAUGCACUCACAAAAUAUACACGCACACAUGUAAAAACCCACAGUUUUCUCUUUAUAUAUAUUAUGAUUUAAUAAUAAUAAUUCUUUUAAGUAAAUUACUCCUGUACACUUUCUCUUGUGUCUUAUGGGUAUUUUGUAAAAACAGCUGUGGACCAAAUGCACGCAGCUCUUAUCCAGAUGUAAGAGGGGAUGAAUGUAGUCAGGGAUGGUCUCUGUGUCAAGAACAAGAACCAGAUGUUGCAGCAGUUGAGCUUGUGUCACCACCCCGCUCACCCACAGUAUUCUUCUGCCUUCAGAAGUCUGUCCUUCUGUCUGUUUAGGAGCUAUGCCACCCUUCUCGAUCCUCCUCCUUUCAUUUCACUUGCAUGUUUCCUUUUAGAUAAAGGCCAAGGAAACUGCUCACAGGUGCUGUUACCGACAUUUGUAACACUGUUUUGGCGCUCCUGCUGAAAGGGGAAAACUAAACUCAAAGGCUUCACUUCUAAUGAUUUAGAAAGAAAGGGACUUAAACCCUCACUCAGCCUGCUUUAGCAGCCAUGACAGGCUAUAGAAAAGACAUGUAGGCCUCUGACUCAAGGAAGCUCCAGAUCUUCUGGCCUCCUGGAGCCUAGGGCCAAAACUGAACACAAAGAAACUCCAGACCCCUGCACCCCCACCCCCAGCCUCCUAGGUGCUUGGUUCCUGGGAACUGUUUGGCCACAAAAGAAACUCAAGGGGAGACCAAAACCUCCCCUAUAGUCUCCAGGAUACAGUUCUAAAAACUAUUGGUAUCUAUGCACAACAGGCCACCUGCAAGUAAUAAGACAAAGCCAUAGAAACCACAGAAUGUUCCCUCUCAGCACUGACCAAUGACAAUACCUGGUACACAGUUAUUUCAUGACAAAAUAUGACUUUGAGAAAUUUUCCUGAUUGUUCCUAAAUGUCAACCAAUCAGAACCAAGCCAUACCUACUGAUGUAAUCCUGUAACUUUUGUCUUUAAAACUUAGCGGUAGACAGGGAACUUCACCCCCUCUGGAGGCUGCUGUGUCAGCUUGCUAGACCGGGUCCCUCCGGCAGUAGGAUAGGCAAUUUAAUAAACCUCGUGCAUUUGCAUUGGUGGUCUGCCUCCCUCGUCUCUUUGGGGAUCCUUGUGACUCAGGCACAACACUGCAUUUUGGUAAGCUAUUGUGGAAGUUCUCUUGUGUCACAGAUGGUAAUAAACAGAAUGGCUUCUUACUCAGAGCCCUUAGCCAGACACUUGGGGCAAGUUCUGUCUUGAACAAUCUCCAUGUUGCUAUUUAGAAGAUAAUGGAGGACAUAGAAUAAACUACAAAUUAAAGUUAAAACCAGAGAGAGAAAUUUAAAUGUUACAAAAAUACAAUCAAAACAGUAGAAACAGGUAAAGGGAUGAAUAUUUUCUAAGACAGGAAGACAAAGGCAUAUGAGAAGGAAACAUAGUAUACAUUAAAAAAAAAAAAACAGACAGAAUGUAGGUAGCAGGAGAGGGUUAAAACAACAUCUGAAGGUGAGUGCAGAACCACAAGUAGAAAAUAUUCUAAGAACGUGAGAAGGAAAAGGAAGAAUUUAAAGUCAGCACGCCUUUAAUCCCAGUACUUGGGAGGCAGAGGCAGGUGGAUCUCCGUGAGUUGGAAGCCAUUCUGGUAUACAGAGCUACACAGAGAAACCCUGUCUCGAAAUAUCAAAAAAGAAAAAAAAAAAGAAUAAGAAAGAAAGAAAAAGGAAGAAUUUAGAAUCACAAAGAAGUAGUAAGAUGGAAAGGCAAAAAGAUUAAAAAAGAAGUCAUGUAUAAAAGAUGAGUAUUAAAUAAUUAAAUUUUUACUCUCAAAUAAAUGCAGGCUUGAAGAUUAAAAGAUAGUAAACAUGAACAUAGAACAGUUCAGAGUGAUGUCAGUGAGAUGUCUGUAAACAAAACUGACAGCCAUUAAAUGUGCUUUUAAAACAGCAUGUUCUACAUACUAGAAUAUAUGACUGAAUUAACUGUAAGACAAAAGUGAAAUGGCUGACAUCAGAGGCAUGAGUCCUCUGCCUUGGCAGUCUUCUAGCUGAGUUGACAUGCCAUAGUGUAGAGUCUCCAAGUAAAAGGCCAAGGUCCCUAAUAGGAGCAGGAGGGGUGUUCCCAGCAAUGAGUCCAUCAGGUGUUUUAACUGUAGGCAAGGUGCAAGGGUAAGGACAUAAGGUUCAGGUUCUCGUCUCAAGGCCUUACAAGGGACAAAAUGGCAGCUAAGAGGCCUGUAUACCAUGAGGAAGUAGUGAUUGGGAGACUUGAUUUCUUAUGUAUAUGUGUGUUUAUUGAAGGGACCAGCUCCCCAUUUCGGCAUCCAUGACAGUAACACGUGCUUGCCAUAACCUUGCCUUGGUCACUUAGUGGUCAGAUGCUUGCCUCGUGACAAGGAACCAAUCAGAAGUUAGCUGGUGGCGCUAUGCUUUAUGACCCUGGGUGUACUUUAUGGACAAGUGCACAGCAAUGACGCACAGACCAUAGCAACCACCCUGGGAGGGCCUAUGGGCCAUAACAACCAGUUGGCCAAUCAACACAGGGCAAGCCCUCCAAGCCUGGAGGCACACCAAUUGUGAGCCUGUUCGUACACCUAGACACUCCUCUUACGCUGCCUUACAAGAUCUCUCGGCAGUCGGUUCAAACUGUCUUUUGUAGCUAACCGCCAUGGUGGGUGGACAAAAGACUUGAGCUAACAUGGGAUUAGCUCAUUAAAUUACAAUAAAGCCUCAUGCAGUUUGCAGCAAGCUCUUGAAUCUGCCUGGUGAUUGUGGUGACUGCGGUCGUGGCCUGGGACCCCGGAUACAUGAGUUUUCCGGGGGUCUAACAUUUAUAUGUGUGUGUUCAUAUGUUUGUGGAUACACAUUUGUACUCAGGUGUGUGUCUGUGCAUGUAGAGGCCAGAAGUUGACUUUGGGUGUUGUUUCUUGGGUGCCACCCACCUUUAUUAUUUUCUAGACCAUCUCUCCCUGACUUGUAGUUCAUCAACUAGGCUGGACUGGUUGCCAGUGGGCCCCAGGAUCACCUCUUUCCACUCUCCUAGUGAGAGGAUUGUAAGUAACACAAUGCCUGUUUUGUUUUGCUGUUGUUUUGUUUUGUUUUCACACAGGCUCUGGCCUGUGGAGGUCUUUAUGCUUGCACGGAAAACACUUCACUGACUGAUAUGUAUAUCUGACCUGAGGCAUUUGGUGUCUGUGUCCUCUGGAAAGCCAACUGUGCAGAGUAGACCAGAAUAAAGUGUCCAAAUAUUCUGUUUCUUUGAGGUUGUGAUGCACUCCUGCUUACGUGGGGGAGGGAUGGCUCAGGUUUUUGCCUUAUAAAUGAGCAGUAGGAACAUUUGAGCUAGUGGGACAGCUGGGGAGUUCCAUGCUGCAAAGCUGGAGUUCCCUGAGAAAAAUUGGAUGCUCAGUGUUGAAGGAAGCAACUGAAAGAAUGCAUAGCUCUAUAGUCAAAGUGAUCCACUCAUGGGUGGGGGCUUGGGAGCACAUCCAUCAACAUGUCAUCAAUAGUCCUAACCGAUGUACUUCUCUCUCCAGAGGCCAGGAAGUGUGUUCUCACUGUAUCUGGAACCCUUGUGGUCUGUAAGGAAGGAGGAAAUAAAUACACGAUUGAACAAAUUGUACUACAAGGUGUGCCUUUUACAAGACUUGGUGAAACAAUAAAUCCAUAGAAGGCAUGUGUCAAUAUCCUACAAUGAAACCAUGCAACAACAUUCAACGACGUUGAGUAUAUACAAACAGAAAAGGAGGCUGCCCAGAGGCCCCAGAACUCCUGCCACUCGAAGGACUGCUAAGACCCAAAUGUCAUCAGGUGUGUUUGAAGCUACAUUUGGCAGAAGGUCUUUGACUGUUGUGAUUUUGAAACAUUUAUUUCAUAAAACAAAAUGAAGAGUCCUCUCCUUACACCCCCAAAUCUGUAGAUUUUAUUUUUGGUGCAAUGACAACAGCUUAAAAAGGACCAUCACUUGAGUUAGUUUUGAAAUGUUGCUUUUCUCCGUGGUCGGGGUAAUAGCUUCUCUUCUACUCCUGCAGCUGAGUUUGUGAAGAUGAUUCAUGAAACAAGAAAGGAUAGCCAGGGUCAAAGUCAGCUGUCUUUCCUGCCAGGAAUGAAAAUCCACAGCAUUUUCUAUUUUUAUAUGAAAGCACAGCUAUGUUUUAUGAUUUUUAUGGCCUUUGAAGACAGCUUCUUAAUUUUGGUAUAGAAAUUAAAACUAACCACAUAGUUUUAUGCCAUUUUGAUUCCAAAGCAGUUACUGUUUAUUUUCACUCAUGUAUUUACCCGUAAACAUUUACUGAAUAACUACUAUCUGCUAGGUAUCCCUCAAAGAACUUCAAAGACAGACCCAGGAGCAAAAUAGCUGGCAAGAACAACAAUGAAUGGUGGUGAAGCAGAGAAUGGCUGUGGGUGGUGGUUUUUUAUAAUGUGGUUCUCUGGGGGUAAAGGAAUAUUUGUGAAUAAGAUCUAAAGUAAGGGAAGGAGUGAGUCAUGCAGGUAUGUGGUUUCUGGAUGGGGUACCAGGAAGGGGCAUGCGUUGAGGGUAUUCUGGGUGGGGGCAUGCGUUGAGGGUGAGGCAGGGACUGAAUGGCUAGAUUCAAGGGAACCGAGAAAAAUAGGUCAGAGAAGGGAUUAUGAUAGCCAUGUAGGGUCAAAAGGUAGGGCAGAUUAUUUCAGUAGCUUUAUUGACCACAUGAAUAUGUUAUUCUGAGUGUACUGGGAAGAUACUGUAGAGCUUAGUGGAAGAGUGGCAUAUCUGGGCCUGUGUUUUAAAAGUAUCAUGCCAGUCUGUAAGUUCGAGGCCAGCCUGGUCUACACAGUGAGUGCCAGGAUAGGCUCCAAAGCUACACAGAGAAGCCCUGUCUCGAAAAACAAAACAAAACAAAAAGUAUCAUGCCAGGUAGAAAGUGGCCUGGGCCCAGAUCAGAUUAUGGAAAUUUCCUGAGUCUAAGAAAGGCCACGUUUCUAAAAUACAGUAUAUGAAAGAGUAAAAUUAGGAGUGCUGAUGAGAUUUUCCAAUGUAGAAGAAUGAAAUAGACGUUUUGCCAAUCUGGGGAAGACCAUGAGUCAGUCUUUUGGGAUACAGUGCACAUUGCAAUGAAGAUGCUUAUCAGGAAAUUAAGCCCAUGAAUCCAGCCUUCAGGAAGGAGGCUGGGGUUGGAGAUGAAGAUGUGGCUUAUUCCAUUGUAGAGCUGAUUCUUAAGGCUCCAAGAUCGAAGAGAUUCAGCUAGAAAGGGGAUAUCCAGUACUAGCUGCUGGCACAUGCUCACACUGGCAAACGGGGAAGUCCAGUGCACAGGAGCUCUCUCGAGAAGCAUCUCCUGUCUGUCAAAAACCACUAUGCAGAGACCUGGUUGCUGCACUGGACAGGGAGACAGCCACUAAUACCCUUAGCAAAGCCACUACCCUGCGAUGAAAGGCUGAUUCAAAAUAGCUCAAAAGGCAAGGAAAGAAAUUUAGUUAAUGAGUAGACAGUUCCUCUGGGGGAGUUUUUCUUUGAAGGGGUGAAGACCAAUAGAUGGAAGGGAAAUGUCAUCAUGGGGCCAAGGAGAGGGUUGUACCACAGGACUGUAUCAUUACUGGGUGAAAUCCUACAAAGAAUGGGAGACAUUGGUAGUGCUAAUGGGAAGGGGGUGUGGGUGAAACAAUGACCUUUGUUUGGAAAGGAUGCAUAAGACACACCUGGAGCCAAUGAGAAAAACUCCCCACUAUCACUUAGGAGCUUCUAUAGUCAUUGAUAAUAGGUUUUACCAGAUAAGAUCAGGGAAAUGGGAAGCCAGGGUGUUUGUAUGUGUAAAUGGAGCAUUCAGAAGGGUAGUGCUGGAAAUGGCAGCGGGCCAAGGGCUGAACACAUGAGCAACACUGGAGAGUGACUGGGGGGGGGUUGGGGGUGGGGGCUCAGGGACUUUCUCAGUGGGUGAAAAAGCUUCAGAGAAGUGAGUAUUGGGAAGAGCAAGGGUGGGAUUUUGAUCUGGAAAUGGCAACGAGGCAUUAUCAUGUGUCUUGUUCCUAUUAAUACUUCAUCACACGCAUUUCCUCUGUGAUAAUGUAACAGCAGGUCUCAGGUUAUAGGUCUAGGGAGUCUUUGGCUUAGAGCUUACCUAAGUUUUCCCAACUGUGGCAGGAGCAUCUGUAGAAAAGACUUCUUGGAGAAUUGUUGUAUAGGUGAAGGAAAAGGCAUACUUAAAAAUAAAAGUUUCAACUGGAAGAAUUUUUUCGGGAAGCUAUGUAGGUAUAACUACAUCCAGUUUCACAGACUUUUAGCCAUUCAAAACAUGUUUUGAGAAUGAGAGGUUUAAAAAUGUAAACAAUCAUAGGCCCAGCAAAGGAAAAUUUUCCUUUCCACUAUUAUAGAUGCACUAUCUUUCUACAGCUGCACUAACGGUGUAAGACAGCUAAAAGGUCAAAAAGAAAAGUAUGUUUGUAACAUGUAGUUUCAAAAUGCACUUAGCUUGUUGUUCUUUCCCUCACGCUGACAGCCAACAUGUGAAAUUCUGACUUGGGAAAAUGUUUCAGAUUCCUUAAACAAACUACAGUAUGAUUUAACCUGGGGGAAGGGACAGGCAAAGGGGCAACUGAGGCAUGGAUAUUUGCUAGGAGCAAUAGCGAUCCACUGCUGGGGACCUCUUGCAUUCCUGUCAGCAUUUGCGAGCCCUUUGUUCUGCAAAGCAAUUUGCUGUCUCUAAGAGAUAAAUCAGCAAAACCAAACUCACACAGAGCGAGUGAGUGGCUACAAAGAUGAUUACACACAGUCAGAAGUUGGAACGCUCAGGGAGUUUUUUUUUUUUUUUUUUUUUUUUAUUUUCAAGUGUAUUUUCUAGAUUUCACCCAAAUGCCUAGCAACAUUUUGAUCUGACUUAAAACAGUGCAAACCUUAACCAGGGAUCAUCUGUUUAAAAACUUUUUGGGAGAUCUUUGUUGUUCUGCAUUGUGGGUGUUCAUGGACUGGAGUGUGCAGGAAAAUAAAGUUAAAAGCACAGGAUCCUGAUCUUGUUUAAUGUUGUGCAAAUUUUUGGAUCACACAAAUGUCUACAGAGAGAUUUCUGGAACAGUGACACAGUAUGGAAAUAAAAACCAACACUAGAAAAGACUUGGCAAAAAUGUAUGUGUUGUCAGCUCGGGACUUGAAAACUGUGAGGAGCUUUUACUCUUUGCUGGGCUCUGGAAAAGAGAUAAUGUUAUAGUCGCACUGUGUGAGACUCAUGGGAAGACAGCUCAUUUUAGGGUCCCCACUACUGCUGUAGUGAGCAAGGCCAAAUACAAUGGCAUUUAUGAGAAAUUCCAGCAGGUAAGUUAAAAAAAAAUAGACUUUAGGGGUUAAAUUUUGUGUUAUAAUGAUGUAGCCUCAGGGAAAGCAAGUUCUUGGCUCAUCAGAUGGUUUGUAUGUGUUCAGACAUUUAUAUUUAUUUUUUGGGGGAUGAACUAAAAGGUAAUCAAUAAUUUACAACUGUUGAGAUGGUCAGAACAUAGUACCAGAGUCUCUGGAGAGUUUGGAGCAGGGUAGAUUUUCUCAUGCUUUCCUGCAACACGCUGAGGUCAAAGUCUCAUCAACACCUCUCUCUUCUCUGUUAACAUUGAUGUCGAACAUCAUAUACUGUAAAGCAGUUAGCACGAAGGCAACGGUGCCUGUUCACACGGACUUUUCAAGACAGCACACACAGAGCAAUUGUGCAGUUUGAGGAUACAGGAACAAGAACUCAUACACACAGUAGCAGGAAAAGCAGUUUUUUAAAGAAAACUUUGUGGGCUGGGAAGUCAGACUUUGGCCCUUCUUUGUCAAUGGACAAUACCCAAAUGGCUCCGGCCUGGGUAUCACACCUCUUUCUAAACUACUGCACAGGAACAACCAGAGACACAAUGAUUAGUGCAUCACAAGAGCAGACAGGAAACUGUUAGAAGUAGAUGGUGACGACCAGAAACUACAAUGACCUUGAAAAAUGUGCACUUGAUACAAGGUCUGUUAGGUGUGUACCCCAGAAAAGAAUGGUAGUGUUAGAAGCAUGGGGCCUCAUCUAAGUGGCCUUGUGAGAGUUUGCCCUAAGAUUGAAUAAGAAUCAUAAUAAUACAAAAAGUCUAGGUCUUGAAGUUUGUUCAAAAUUCCCCAAGAAAAUCACUGAGCUCCAUCUCACUAGAGCUAUCAGGUUUCAUGUGGUACUUAAUAUAGUUGUUGCUUGAAUGUUGUGGGUUGGCUAUGUAUGAUCUGGAUGGAAUCCGUGUGGGAGGAUUCACAGUCCAUCCAUCUCCACCAUUCACUGGAUAUAGGAAUCCAAGCUACAAUGUCCUGGCCAGCACUUAAACACAAUGGUCUCUUCUAGGUUCCAUGUCAAAGCUGUGAUGUGACCAUGCUCAGUGGGUUUUCUGAAUGGUCAGCAAUUUAGUGGUGUUGAGGAUGGACAGGUCUACUAAAGCUUAAUCUUGGGGAAGGCUAUUCUUUCUUAUAGAAAAAAAGAAGUCUGCCUAAUUUCUAGUAACAAAAUCUUUUUAAAGGAACUAUCACAACAGAAGAAAUUUUAAAUUACAAUAGGUAAAGAGAUCACAUCCUCAGAAAAAAGCAAACAGAAGGAAACUCACCCCCUAGUGGGGACUGUAUGAUGAACCACAGGGGCACCAUUCUGAUAUAUUUUGCAUGACCAAGGUCUCAUGAUGUCAGGGUUGAGACCUGUCAUAAAUGCCAGAAUAUUUACUUUAGAAGAUUACUGCUUCAAGGAAUUCUAUAAAUGUAUUUUAAGGAGCAGAGAGUGGCGGGCCUCUUUUAAAAUUGGUUUUGUCUUAUGCUCAGUGCAAAAUAUUUGUACAAAAAUAUAAAAGGCAUGGCUUGAUGUUUAACGUCUGUGUUUUAUUUUGUUUUGUUGGCACCAGAAAAAGCUCAUGUUAUGUUAUGUCACUGUACAUACUGUAAACAAGACGGCAUUAAUAUGUUUUCUUAUGAUUUUUUGUUCCAAUGAAUCUAGAUUUUAAAAAAUACAUUCACAAACUACCUUAUGUUUAAACACAAUGAUUCCCUUUUAUUUCUUAACUGUACCCAAAGUCCCACAAUAAAAAAUCAUUUAAAGCUG
Molecule: long non-coding RNA, 13180 nt
Filed under: Cricetulus griseus (Chinese hamster)
Lineage: Eukaryota; Metazoa; Chordata; Mammalia; Rodentia; Cricetidae
Description: lncRNA (ENSCGRG00015039820.1)
Source: RNAcentral